UACGUAGGGUGCAGGCGUUAAUCGGAAUUACUGGGCGUAAAGCGUGCGCAGGCGGUUUGCUAAGACAGGUGUGAAAUCCCCGGGCUUAACCUGGGAACUGCGCUUGUUACUGGCAAGCUGGAGUGUGGCAGAGGGGGGUGGAAUUCCACGUGUAGCAGUGAAAUGCGUAGAGAUGUGGAGGAACACCGAUGGCGAAGGCAGCCCCCUGGGCUGAGAUUGACGCUCAGGCACGAAAGCGUGGGGAGCAAACAGG
Molecule: ribosomal RNA, 253 nt
Filed under: uncultured bacterium
Lineage: Bacteria
Description: partial 16S ribosomal RNA
Rfam family: Bacterial small subunit ribosomal RNA
Source: RNAcentral